CCUACGGGGGGCUGCAGUGGGGAAUAUUGCACAAUGGGGGAAACUCUGAUGCAGCGACGCCGCGUGCGUGCAGAAGUAACUCGUUAUGUAAAGCUCCUUCAGCAGGGAAGUAAAUGACGGUACCUGAGUAUGAAGCCCCGGCUAACUACGUGCCAGCAGCCGCGGUAAUACGUAGGGGGCCAGCGUUAUCCGGAUGUACUGGGUGUAAAGGGAGCGUAGACGGCAGUGCAAGUCUGGAGUGAAAGGCGGGGGCUCAACCCCCGGACUGCUCUGGAAACUGUACGGCUGGAGUGCAGGAGAGGUAAGUGGAAUUCAUGGUGUAGCGGUGAAAGGCGUAGAGAUUAGGAGGAACACCAGUGGCGAAGGCAGCUUACUGGGCUGUAACUGACGUUGAGGCUCGAAAGCGUGGGGAGCAAACAGGAUUAGAUACCCCAGUAGUC
This 440-nucleotide ribosomal RNA is filed under the name uncultured bacterium. RNAcentral describes it as "partial 16S ribosomal RNA". It matches the Rfam family "Bacterial small subunit ribosomal RNA", at positions 338 to 795 of the family's 1533-position model. The record is from RNAcentral.